GGAAUUCUAGUGAGUCAGACAAGUCUGUGAGAGUCGGGAGGAGGGUUGGAGGCUACAUUUGCUUCCCGGGCAUGGGGCGCAGUUGCUACCCUGGCCCUCAGCUCCUGUGCAGGAGCGCGUGGGCCUGGCCCAAGCCUCCCGCGUUGACACCCUUCUUCCACCUGGUCUAAACUCCUCCUCCUAGCCACCCAGGAGCGGCCACCCCUGAGGGACUGACUUCCGGGGAUAUCAGGUCAGUGGCACUGGGCACACUCACAUUGGUGUGCAGCCAUCAGCUCCAGAGCUUUCGUCUUCCCGGACUGAAACUCUGACCCCAUGAAACCCUAACUCCCUACUGGCCUUCUCCCAGGCCCUGGAAACCCCGGGCCACUUCCACUCUCUGGCUGGAAUAUUCCACCAUAUGUAGACGCUCCAUUUUUAUAAGGUCCAUCCAUCCAUCCAUCAUUGGGCAUCUGAGUUGUUUAUGACUUUGGCUGUUUUGAAUAAUACUGCUAUCAUUACAAGUCUCCAAACAUCUAUUCAA
This 523-nucleotide long non-coding RNA is filed under the name Heterocephalus glaber (naked mole-rat). RNAcentral describes it as "lncRNA (ENSHGLG00000037984.1)". Lineage: Eukaryota; Metazoa; Chordata; Mammalia; Rodentia; Bathyergidae. The record is from RNAcentral.